CCCGAGUGAGCCCGUCUCGCCGCCCCUCGCCCUAUGACACGCGUGCCAGGCUGGGGCUCCGCCGCCGCGGCCGUGCCAGGGCAGGCUUUACCUGAUACCGGUCCCUUUCGGCUCGCCACGCCCCUCCCCUCCGCCAGUGGUGAGCAGGAGGAGCUCCGCGCGGGCGCCGCCCGGCUCUGGCUAUAAGAUCGAGACCGAAUCUCUCAGCGGAACCCACACAGCCGUGAGCAUGGCGUCCUCGGCGAGGUCCACUCCUCCGACCUCCAGGAGAAUGGACGGCGUCAACCUCCCGACCCACAAGUGCGACGUGGUCGUCAUAGGGGGAGGCAUCUCAGAUCACAUCAGGGUGACAGAAAUAUCCAGGGACCCUUUCGUCAAUAAUAAGAUCCUUUCUCAAAAAAAUCUGAACAUGCUGCAAAUGUAAUUUAUGUCUUAAAAUUAAUAAAAUCUCAUUUUUAACAGGAUUUAUCUUGUAC
This 476-nucleotide long non-coding RNA is filed under the name Phascolarctos cinereus (koala). Its description in RNAcentral is "lncRNA (ENSPCIG00000032664.1)". Lineage: Eukaryota; Metazoa; Chordata; Mammalia; Diprotodontia; Phascolarctidae. The record is from RNAcentral.